GAGUUUGAUCCUGGCUCAGGACGAACGCUGGCGGCGUGCCUAAUGCAUGCAAGUCGCACGCACUCGCUUCGGCGGGUGAGUGGCGCACGGCUGAGUAACACGUGGGAACCCGCCCCCCGGUGGGGGAUAACGCGACGAAAGUCGCGCUAAUCCCGCAUACGUCCGCAGGGGGAAAGCGCUUCGGCGCGCCGGGGGAGGGGCCUGCGGCCCAUCAGGUCGUUGGUGGGGUAACGGCCUACCAAGCCGAUGACGGGUAGCUGGUCUGGGAGGAUGACCAGCCAGACUGGGACUGAGACACGGCCCAGACUCCUACGGGAGGCAGCAGCAAGGAAUUUUCGGCAAUGGGCGCAAGCCUGACCGAGCAACGCCGCGUGCGGGAUGACGGCCUUCGGGUUGUAAACCGCUUUUCGGGGGGACGAUGAUGACGGUACCCCCGGAACAAGCCCCGGCUAACUCUGUGCCAGCAGCCGCGGUAAGACAGAGGGGGCGAGCGUUGUCCGGAGUCACUGGGCGUAAAGCGCGCGCAGGCGGUCGCCAAAGUGUCGUGUGAAAGCCCCCGGCUCAACCGGGGGAGGCCAUGGCAAACUCGGCGACUGGAGCGGCGGAGAGGCCCCUCGAAUUGCCGGUGUAGCGGUGAAAUGCGUAGAGAUCGGCAGGAAGACCAAGGGGGAAGCCAGGGGGCUGGCCGCUGGCUGACGCUGAGGCGCGACAGCGUGGGGAGCGAACCGGAUUAGAUACCCGGGUAGUCCACGCCGUAAACAAUGACCACUCGGCGUGCGGCGACUAUUGACGUCGCGGUGCGCCUUAGCUCACGCGCUAAGUGGUCCGCCUGGGAACUACGAGCGCAAGCUUUAAACUCAAAGGAAUUGACGGGGG
RNAcentral lists this ribosomal RNA (876 nucleotides) under uncultured bacterium. RNAcentral describes it as "bacterial SSU rRNA". It matches the Rfam family "Bacterial small subunit ribosomal RNA", at positions 9 to 919 of the family's 1533-position model. The record is from RNAcentral.